Molecule: ribosomal RNA, 303 nt
Filed under: uncultured Bacteroides sp.
Lineage: Bacteria; Pseudomonadati; Bacteroidota; Bacteroidia; Bacteroidales; Bacteroidaceae
Description: bacterial SSU rRNA
Rfam family: Bacterial small subunit ribosomal RNA
Source: RNAcentral
UGCGUUCCAUUAGAUAGUAGCGGGUAACGGCCCACCUAGUCGACGAUGGAUAGGGGUUCUGAGAGGAAGGUCCCCCACAUUGGAACUGAGACACGGUCCAAACUCCUACGGGAGGCAGCAGUGAGGAAUAUUGGUCAAUGGACGAGAGUCUGAACCAGCCAAGUAGCGUGAAGGGUGACUGCCCUAUGGGUUGUAAACUUCUUUUAUAAGGGAAUAAAGUGCGCCACGUGUGGUGUUUUGUAUGUACCUUAUGAAUAAGCAUCGGCUAAUUCCGUGCCAGCAGCCGCGGUAAUACGGAAGAUG